AGUAACUGUCUGCUCUCCGUUCUGUUGGUAUCCACUCUGCUUUAUCGAACUUUCCUAGCAGGCGAGAAUCGAUCUUUUUUUAAGGCUGGAAGACCACUGUUUUACGGGCUCGAACCGGCACGGCUGCCGCCAUGGCCGGACCUCAGGCAGAGAUCUGUCUCGCUGCCCAACGCUGUUCGUCCCGUUUGUUUCCGGAGAUCCAAUCUGGACUUAAGGGACUUUCCUGUGGUCAAUUUCUUGCGCUUUUUUUACAUCCACCGAACAACUCUGUGCUUAGAGACCACGACGGCUUUCGGCACGGAACAAUGUACCUGCCUGCUGCGGAACAGACCUCACUCAAAAAGUCUUCCACUAUGGUCAGUGAGCUACACUGCUGAACAAAAUCUGUGGGCAGGAACGUUCAUCCUCCACCGGACUCCUUCCUGUGUACUAGUAUUUCUACAUGUGAAUCACUCUGCGUCGGAGAUUGUCGUGGGUCGCUAGUGAAAUACAAGGGUCACUGCGUCAAACGAGGCUUCUUAGGUAUCUCGGGUAACCAAGAGGUGAGGGUCACAAGACACUCAAACGAGAAAGAGUUAUUGACGAG
RNAcentral lists this long non-coding RNA (586 nucleotides) under Toxoplasma gondii VEG. Lineage: Eukaryota; Apicomplexa; Conoidasida; Eucoccidiorida; Sarcocystidae. The record is from RNAcentral.